CUGUGCCGCUAUACGUUUGGUUCCCGAAGGCAGAAGCCAUAGGGAUCAAAAGGGAAUGCGACGGACGGACCCAUGCCGGGCGUCCUUAUCGCAGCCGACCCCGCGACUGUAGAGCGGAUAGGAUUCAUGCCAUUGCCCCAGGGCCGAAACCUGGGGCAGCCACUGGGAAACCGGGAAGGCGGCAUUGAUCCUGCGACCCGCGAGCCAGGAGACCUGCCGGACGUAAAGGGCAAUG
This 235-nucleotide non-coding RNA is filed under the name Paramesorhizobium deserti. The record is from RNAcentral. Lineage: Bacteria; Pseudomonadati; Pseudomonadota; Alphaproteobacteria; Hyphomicrobiales; Phyllobacteriaceae.